This 574-nucleotide ribosomal RNA is filed under the name uncultured bacterium. Its description in RNAcentral is "partial 16S ribosomal RNA". It matches the Rfam family "Bacterial small subunit ribosomal RNA", at positions 355 to 923 of the family's 1533-position model. The record is from RNAcentral.
UGGGGAAUUUUGGACAAUGGGGGCAACCCUGAUCCAGCAAUGCCGCGUGUGUGAAGAAGGCCUUCGGGUUGUAAAGCACUUUUGUCCGGAAAGAAAACGCCGUGGUUAAUACCCGUGGCGGAUGACGGUACCGGAAGAAUAAGCACCGGCUAACUACGUGCCAGCAGCCGCGGUAAUACGUAGGGUGCAAGCGUUAAUCGGAAUUACUGGGCGUAAAGCGUGCGCAGGCGGUCCGCUAAGACAGAUGUGAAAUCCCCGGGCUUAACCUGGGAACUGCAUUUGUGACUGGCGGGCUAGAGUAUGGCAGAGGGGGGUAGAAUUCACGUGUAGCAGUGAAAUGCGUAGAGAUGUGGAGGAAUACCGAUGGCGAAGGCAGCCCCCUGGGCCAAUACUGACGCUCAUGCACGAAAGCGUGGGGAGCAAACAGGAUUAGAUACCCUGGUAGUCCACGCCCUAAACGAUGUCAACUAGUUGUCGGGUCUUCAUUGACUUGGUAACGUAGCUAACGCGUGAAGUUGACCGCCUGGGGAGUACGGUCGCAAGAUUAAAACUCAAAGGAAUUGACGGGGUCAUA